ACCACAUUCAGUUCCCAGGGACUAGACACGCUGUGCCAUGUAACGUAUUUUACAUUGCUAGGGAGUUAUUGGAGCCUGAGGAUAGCAGCAUUUUUCUGCCUUCUGACUAUUGUGCUGACAGAUAGUUUUUGCUAUUACAUUUAUUUGGAAAGGAAAAUAAGCAAAUGCAAACAUUCAGAGUUGUUUUCCUCCUUCAGAUUUAAAAACAGAAUUUUUCCCUCAUAUUGUUCUACACUGAAAUGUGACAUAGUAAAGCUGUCUAGAGCCACAGUCUGUCCUGUCUUGAGAAAAAAAUAACAUCACCUCCGAGUGAAGCAAAUAAAAACUGGACUCCUUCCACUGGAUGGGAACCAAAGAGCUGCAGUAAUGAUCCCCAUGUUUCCUCUGCCAGACGAGGCAGGUAGGAGAGCGAGUCGCUGUUUGUGUGAGCAUCACAACCCGUUUUGUUCUUUUCAGAUUUUCAGUUCCAGGAUUUUCUGACAGCUUCUAUUGCCAUACGGCCCUGCGUGGGACAGGACAGUGUCGCAUGUGAGGAAAGGCAGACAGACAACAGAGGGAACCAGGCAGCUGAGCGAUAUACGUGUUUUAAAUGCAACAUACUGAAGCACCAUGUGGACAACUUGUGAAAGCCGACUAAGGAUCAGAUCAUGGCAGAAGACACCAAAACCAAUUUGUGGACUGUUCCACUAAGCAGCCUUUCUAUUUCGUGUUAAAGACGGGCAUAAAUGAACAAUGCCAGCUGUUAGAAACCAAGUACAGUGAGUGGGCCUGGCCUAGCCAUCUAUGUUAACUUUGGAUCCAGUUUCUGAUCUGGCCAUCCUGGAAGGACUUUGUUAUGGGGAAUCCGUGCAGCUGAACCCCAGGUCGUUAUAUAGUGAUUGCUACUUCAGACCUUGCUCCUGCCAACACUACGUGUGUAUACGCUUAUACAGGAGAACAGUCUCAAUGAUCU
This is a long non-coding RNA of Gallus gallus (chicken), 952 nucleotides long. The record is from Ensembl. Lineage: Eukaryota; Metazoa; Chordata; Aves; Galliformes; Phasianidae.